This 492-nucleotide ribosomal RNA is filed under the name uncultured bacterium. RNAcentral describes it as "partial 16S ribosomal RNA". It matches the Rfam family "Bacterial small subunit ribosomal RNA", at positions 29 to 507 of the family's 1533-position model. The record is from RNAcentral.
AGUGAACGCUGGCGGUAGGCCUAACACAUGCAAGUCGAACGGCAGCACAGUAAGAGCUUGCUCUUACGGGUGGCGAGUGGCGGACGGGUGAGGAAUACAUCGGAAUCUACUUUUUCGUGGGAGAUAACGUAGGGAAACUUACGCUAAUACCGCAUACGACCUACGGGUGAAAGCAGGGGAUCUUCGGACCUUGCGCGAUUGAAUGAGCCGAUGUCGGAUUAGCUAGUUGGCGGGGUAAAGGCCCACCAAGGCGACGAUCCGUAGCUGGUCUGAGAGGAUGAUCAGCCACACUGGAACUGAGACACGGUCCAGACUCCUACGGGAGGCAGCAGUGGGGAAUAUUGGACAAUGGGCGCAAGCCUGAUCCAGCUAUACCGCGUGGGUGAAGAAGGCCUUCGGGUUGUAAAGCCCUUUUGUUGGGAAAGAAAAGCAGCAGGUUAAUACCCCGCUGUUCUGACGGUACCCAAAGAAUAAGCACCGGCUAACUUCGUG